RNAcentral lists this long non-coding RNA (263 nucleotides) under Ananas comosus (pineapple). RNAcentral describes it as "long non-coding RNA (ACOM_LNC015186)". Lineage: Eukaryota; Viridiplantae; Streptophyta; Magnoliopsida; Poales; Bromeliaceae. The record is from RNAcentral.
CAUUCUUUAAAAUUUUUCAAAUCAUUAAUUUUAACUUUUAAAUUUUCGUCAAAAUAUUAUUUAAAAUUCUAAAACUUUGUUCAAAUAAUUUUAAUUAAAAUUAUAAAAUCUAUUCAAAUAAUUUUAAAGAUAUUUAUAAUUUUUUUAAAAUUUUAUCCAAAUAAUUAUUAAAUUUAAAUUUUUAUCAAGAUAGUUUUAAAUUUUUUUUAAAAAUAAUAUUAAACUUUUAAACCAUGAAACCCCCAAUAAUAAUUAAAAAAAUA